CCUACGGGCGGCAGCAGUGAGGAAUAUUGGUCAAUGGGCGCGAGCCUGAACCAGCCAAGUAGCGUGAAGGAUGACUGCCCUACGGGUUGUAAACUUCUUUUAUAAAGGAAUAAAGUGAGGCACGUGUGCCUUUUUGUAUGUACUUUAUGAAUAAGGAUCGGCUAACACCGUGCCAGCAGCCGCGUUAAUACGGAGGAUCCGAGCAUUAUCCGGAUUUAUUGGGUUUAAAGGGAGCGUAGAUGGGUUGUUAAGUCAGUUGUGAAAGUUUUCGGCUCAACCGUAAAAUUGCCAUUGAUACUGGCAGCCUUGAGUACAGUUGAGGUAGGCGGAAUUCGUGGUGUAGCGGUGAAAUGCUUAGAUAUCACGAAGAACUCCGAUUGCGAAGGCAGCUUACUAAACUGCCACUGACAUUGAUGCUCGAAAGUGUGGGUAUCAAACAGGAUUAGAUACCCUGGUAGUC
Molecule: ribosomal RNA, 460 nt
Filed under: uncultured bacterium
Lineage: Bacteria
Description: partial 16S ribosomal RNA
Rfam family: Bacterial small subunit ribosomal RNA
Source: RNAcentral